AACGAACGCUGGCGGCAUGCCUAACACAUGCAAGUCGAACGAGACCUUCGGGUCUAGUGGCGCACGGGUGCGUAACGCGUGGGAACCUGCCCUUAGGUUCGGAAUAACUCCCCGAAAGGGGUGCUAAUACCGGAUAAUGUCUUCGGACCAAAGAUUUAUCGCCUUUGGAUGGGCCCGCGUUGGAUUAGCUAGUUGGUAGGGUAAAAGCCUACCAAGGCGACGAUCCAUAGCUGGUCUGAGAGGAUGAUCAGCCACACUGGGACUGAGACACGGCCCAGACUCCUACGGGAGGCAGCAGUGGGGACUAUUGGACAAUGGGCGAAAGCCUGAUCCAGCAAUGCCGCGUGAGUGAUGAAGGCCUUAGGGUUGUAAAGCUCUUUUACCCGGGAUGAUAAUGACAGUACCGGGAGAAUAAGCUCCGGCUAACUCCGUG
RNAcentral lists this ribosomal RNA (433 nucleotides) under uncultured bacterium. RNAcentral's name for it is "partial 16S ribosomal RNA". It matches the Rfam family "Bacterial small subunit ribosomal RNA", at positions 29 to 507 of the family's 1533-position model. The record is from RNAcentral.